GAGCUAGGUGUUGCGCAAUCUUCGGGAUUGCGUGGUGUCGAAGCGAAGGCGAUAAGCUCGCCGCCUGGGGAGUACGGUCGCAAGGCUGAAACUUAAAGGAAUUGGCGGGGGAGCACUACAAGGGGUGCGGCGUGCGGUUUAAUCCAAUUCAACACGGAGAAUCUCACCAGGAGCGACGGCAGGAUGAAGGUCAGUCUAAAGGGCUUACCUAACGAGCCGAGAGGUAGUGCAUGGCCGUCGUCAGCUCGUGCCGUAAGGUGUCUUGUUAAGUCAAGCAACGAGCGAGACCUGUGCGCACAAUUGCUAACGGAUUAGAAAUAAUGACUGAGCACAUUGUGCGGACUGCUCCAGAAAUGGAGAGGAAGGCGCAGGCAACGGUAGGUCUGUAUGCUCCGAAUCUUCUGGGCUACACGCGCGCAACAAUGGUAGGUACAAUGGGCCGCAACACCGAAAGGUGAAGCUAAUCCUCGAAAACCUAUCCUAGUUCAGAUUGUGGGUUGUAACUCACCCACAUGACGUUGGAAUCCCUGGUAUCAGGCUUUAGCAGAGCCCGGUGAAUAUGUCCCUGCUCCUUGCGCUCACCGCCCG
Molecule: ribosomal RNA, 588 nt
Filed under: uncultured archaeon
Lineage: Archaea
Description: bacterial SSU rRNA
Rfam family: Archaeal small subunit ribosomal RNA
Source: RNAcentral